This 628-nucleotide ribosomal RNA is filed under the name Vibrio parahaemolyticus. RNAcentral's name for it is "partial 23S ribosomal RNA". It matches the Rfam family "Bacterial large subunit ribosomal RNA", at positions 1 to 1135 of the family's 2925-position model. Lineage: Bacteria; Pseudomonadati; Pseudomonadota; Gammaproteobacteria; Vibrionales; Vibrionaceae. The record is from RNAcentral.
AGUGUACAUAGAAGUACACGAGCAACGGAAGUUAAAAAAUCAAGCCAGUUUGACAGUAAAAGCAAGCGGGACAUUUGAGGAUGGGGUGACUGCGUACCUUUUGUAUAAUGGGUCAGCGACUUAUAUUCUGUAGCAAGGUUAACCGUAUAGGGGAGCCGUAGGGAAACCGAGUCUUAACUGGGCGAAUGAGUUGCAGGGUAUAGACCCGAAACCCGGUGAUCUAUCCAUGGGCAGGUUGAAGGUUGGGUAACACUAACUGGAGGACCGAACCGACUAAUGUUGAAAAAUUAGCGGAUGACUUGUGGCUGGGGGUGAAAGGCCAAUCAAACCGGGAGAUAGCUGGUUCUCCCCGAAAGCUAUUUAGGUAGCGCCUCGUGAACUCAUCUUCGGGGGUAGAGCACUGUUUCGACUAGGGGGUCAUCCCGACUUACCAACUCGAUGCAAACUACGAAUACCGAAGAAUGUUAUCACGGGAGACACACGGCGGGUGCUAACGUUCGUCGUGAAGAGGGAAACAACCCAGACCGCCAGCUAAGGUCCCAAAGUCAUAGUUAAGUGGGAAACGAAGUGGGAAGGCUCAGACAGCCAGGAUGUUGGCUUAGAAGCAGCCAUCAUUUAAAGAAAGCGU